GGGCCACAUAAGACUUUGUCCAUCCAGGGUUACAUUGAACGACAACUUUAAACUAAAGAACCCCCUGAAUGAUGUAGGCUAUGGGGCCACAUAAGACUUUGUGCAUCCAGGGUUACAUAGCAGGACAACUUUAAACUAAAAAGCUACCAGACUGGGAUUUUAGUGUACUCCAGGAUCUAACAAAGUGUGCAAUGCAUGUGUAUACGUAUAGUGACAGUGUUUAGUGUAUACCCUAAGGAUUAAGUGUAGUGUACAUUGUGCUUUU
Long non-coding RNA from Macrobrachium nipponense, 265 nucleotides. RefSeq lists it as uncharacterized. The transcript has 3 exons. Lineage: Eukaryota; Metazoa; Arthropoda; Malacostraca; Decapoda; Palaemonidae. The record is from RefSeq and is a predicted model, not a curated record.